Molecule: long non-coding RNA, 362 nt
Organism: Prosopis cineraria
Lineage: Eukaryota; Viridiplantae; Streptophyta; Magnoliopsida; Fabales; Fabaceae
Exons: 3
Source: RefSeq, a predicted model, not a curated record
CAUGAGAGGCUAAGAUGCAAUUUAGAGAAAAUUGCAACUUUGGGCCCAAAGGUUUGAAUAAUUAAAUUCAAACCUAUAGUUUUUUUUUAAUAUAAUUUUGGGACUCACAAUCCCAUUUUUAUAUUAUUUUUCUCUCUUCCUCUCACGUUGCUCGGCGUUUUCUCGCAAGGGGGGAUUAUUUUCUUUUUUCUUCAGAUUAUAUUGACAAAGAUAGUGGUGAAAAAGGAGUUGUGAAGGGGAACUUGUUAUUCAAGACACAAGGAGCGAGUCCGGCCGAGAAAGCACCAGAGGUGUAACUGUGGUGUAUGAGACACCAUCUUUUACGUUGCCUCUUAUUUUAGAUUAUACAAUGUAUCUUGUGC